RNAcentral lists this ribosomal RNA (232 nucleotides) under uncultured bacterium. RNAcentral's name for it is "partial 16S ribosomal RNA". It matches the Rfam family "Bacterial small subunit ribosomal RNA", at positions 104 to 334 of the family's 1533-position model. The record is from RNAcentral.
CGGGGUGAGUAACGCGUGGAUAACCUGCCUCACACAGGGGGAUAACAGUUAGAAAUGACUGCUAAUACCGCAUAAGCGCACGGUGCCGCAUGGUACAGUGUGAAAAACUCCGGUGGUGUGAGAUGGAUCCGCGUCUGAUUAGGUAGUUGGUGAGGUAACGGCCCACCAAGCCGACGAUCAGUAGCCGACCUGAGAGGGUGACCGGCCACAUUGGGACUGAGACACGGCCCAA